Molecule: transfer RNA, 72 nt
Filed under: Salmo salar (Atlantic salmon)
Lineage: Eukaryota; Metazoa; Chordata; Actinopteri; Salmoniformes; Salmonidae
Also listed under: 1 other name
Rfam family: tRNA
About the family: Transfer RNA (tRNA) molecules are approximately 80 nucleotides in length. Their secondary structure includes four short double-helical elements and three loops (D, anti-codon, and T loops). Further hydrogen bonds mediate the characteristic L-shaped molecular structure. tRNAs have two regions of fundamental functional importance: the anti-codon, which is responsible for specific mRNA codon recognition, and the 3' end, to which the tRNAs corresponding amino acid is attached (by aminoacyl-tRNA synthetases). tRNAs cope with the degeneracy of the genetic code in two manners: having more than one tRNA (with a specific anti-codon) for a particular amino acid; and 'wobble' base-pairing, i.e. permitting non-standard base-pairing at the 3rd anti-codon position.
Source: Rfam by way of RNAcentral
UCCCGUGUGGCUCAGUUGGUAGAGCAUGGUGUUUGCAACGCCAGGGUUGUGGGUUCGUUUCCCACGGGGGAG